GAGUUUGAUCAUGGCUCAGGAUAAACGUUGGCGGUGCGCCUUAUGCAUGCAAGUCGAACGAGGUUAUGGCUUUCGGGCUAUAGCCUAGUGGCGAACGGCUGAGUAACAUGUAAGCAACCUGCCUUGUAGUGGGGAAUAACUUGUCGAAAGGCAAGCUAAUACCGCAUGUGGUAAUCAAGUGAUGCUUGGUUACUAAAGCUGCAAAGCGCUACGAGAGGGGCUUGCAGCCGAUUAGCUAGUUGGUAGGGUAAUAGCCUACCAAGGCGACGAUGGUUAGCUGGUCCGAGAGGAUGAUCAGCCACACUGGAAUUGAGAUACGGUCCAGACUCCUACGGGAGGCAGCAGUGAGGGAUUUUGCGCAAUGGGGGAAACCCUGACGCAGCAACGCCGCGUGAGUGAGGAAGGCCUUCGGGUCGUAAAGCUCUGUCAGAUGGGAAGAAAUGCGGGAAUGUCAAUAGCUUUCCCGCUUGACGGUACCAUCAGAGGAAGCACCGGCUAACUCCGUGCCAGCAGCCGCGGUAAUACG
This 526-nucleotide ribosomal RNA is filed under the name uncultured delta proteobacterium. RNAcentral describes it as "bacterial SSU rRNA". It matches the Rfam family "Bacterial small subunit ribosomal RNA", at positions 9 to 527 of the family's 1533-position model. The record is from RNAcentral. Lineage: Bacteria; Deltaproteobacteria.